This 346-nucleotide unclassified non-coding RNA is filed under the name soil metagenome. Its description in RNAcentral is "partial contains 5.8S ribosomal RNA, internal transcribed spacer 2, and large subunit ribosomal RNA". The stretch from base 1 to 121 matches the Rfam family "5.8S ribosomal RNA", at positions 35 to 154 of the family's 154-position model. The record is from RNAcentral.
GAUGAAGAACGUAGCGAAAUGCGAUAAGUAAUGCGAAUUGCAGAAUUUCCGUGAGUCAUCGAAUCUUUGAACGCACAUUGCGCCCACUGGUAUUCCGGUGGGCAUGCCUGUUCGAGCGUCAUUAUCCUCCCUCAAACCUCGGGUUUGGUGUUGGACCCAAGUUGUGUGAACAACUGGUCUCAAAGACAAUGACGGCGUCCGUGGGACCCUCGGUGCAACGAGCUUUUAGGAGCACGCGUCGAGUUUCAAGGACCUUCCGGGCUGGUCUCCUUUACUAUUUUUACAAGGUUGACCUCGGAUCAGGUAGGAAUACCCGCUGAACUUAAGCAUAUCAAUAAGCGGAGGA